Molecule: unclassified non-coding RNA, 200 nt
Filed under: soil metagenome
Description: partial contains internal transcribed spacer 2 and large subunit ribosomal RNA
Source: RNAcentral
GUGGUGGAUUUGGAUUGUGCCGUAAUUGGCUCAUCCUGAAAUGCAUUAGCUUGCGCUUUUUACAGUGCUCGGCAUGGUGUGAUAAUUAUCUUCACUGUCGCCUUAGGCCUGUUCUAUAUGUGUAGCUUCUAAUCGUCCCUUGUGGACAACUUACUUAACACUUUGGCCUCAAAUCAGGUAGGACUACCCGCUGAACUUAA